CAUUAGAUGGCUGAAACACUUAAAGCAAUGGUCUCUUAAACCAAAUCAUGAUACACCUAUCUCUAAUGA
Molecule: transfer RNA, 69 nt
Filed under: Charinus ferreus
Lineage: Eukaryota; Metazoa; Arthropoda; Arachnida; Amblypygi; Charinidae
Description: tRNA-Lys
Rfam family: tRNA
About the family: Transfer RNA (tRNA) molecules are approximately 80 nucleotides in length. Their secondary structure includes four short double-helical elements and three loops (D, anti-codon, and T loops).
Source: RNAcentral